ACAAUGUAUCUGUUAUAGCAAGGUAAUUUGUAAAAUCACAAGGGCCUUGUUUGACUGUACAUUGUAUCAUACAUUAAAUCAUGCCACUCCGUGUUUUCAUUGCAUUAAUGGCAUUUCAAAGUACAACUAAUGAAUUAGCAUUGCUACAUACCCGGACUGGGCUAUUGCCGUUAGUCUCUGCUGGAGGGUCUGGUCUCUGCUGAAAAAAAAAAAAUUAUGUCAAGGCAAAAAUGAUUUCACGUCUACAUUUUAGCCUCAAAUUUGAAAUCAUUCUCUCAGUAUAUCCCGUAUCUGCUCUUUUUAUGAAAGAACAAACCAAAAUGCUGCUUCCUAAUUGUUUCAGCAGGAUAUGGAAAUUAUCAAAAAUGGAAUAUUGUUGAGAAAAAAAUGGGUCACUUUGAGCUUUAAAAUGUGGAACAGUAUUUGUAAAGUGUGGAAUAUUUAUUUGUGAGAAAAUCUCAAUAUUUAAAAAUAAACAUCCCAAACGCCACAGAUAGUUUGAUGCACGAAAAAGCACAACUGAUAUUGUUUCUUAAUUCAUGUACAGUCGAACCCUGAUAAGAAGAAGCACUUUUGAGCAUUGUUCCUGUACACAAAUGUCUCCCUAUAAUUUUUGUUGAUACCAACUAAGCCUAAUAGGAACUCCAGGAAAUAUUCUUUUUAAAAGGAAAUGCCCAAUGCUUCCUCUAUUUAAAAACUCGAAGAGUCAAUACAAUCAGGGGUAAUAAAUACAUGUACUGUAUGCAAGCGUUCUCCGAUUUACUUACAAACAACUGCACCUGAUCAAUGGCCUCAUCUUCAUCCUCAUCAACGCAGAAUUGGGCAAUCACCGUAGCUUUCUUCUUCUCCUGAAAUGACAAACAAGAUAAAAAAUUGUUGUUUAUCUGACCACUUCCCAAUUCUAUUUCCAUAACGUUUACAUCACAGUUUCGGCUUCCCCUUUUAUUGCUUAACCAUUAAAAAAAAAAAUUAUUGUACAUUGAGUUUAGUAGAGAUAGCUAGCUUGGCUAGAGCUGUGGAUUUAUUAUUCACGAACAUUAGAAACCACAGAGUAAAUGCACAUCACAGUUACAUGUACAACUGUACUUUUUAAACUUUAGUAAGUGUGGACACUAGCAAAGUAUCUUGGAGUUUUAAAGUUAUUUCUGCGGGAAAUACCCUUAUGUGCAGUACUCCAAAAACGAACAUACAUGUACUUGAAUGAUAAAAAAAAACAAUCCUUGGUUGGUUUCUUCUUAGGUUGCGUCGUUGGUUUCUUCUUAGGUUGCGUCAUUGUUUUCGUCUUAGAUUGCGUCGUUGGUUUCUAUAAAAAAAAGGGAAUGAGCAACCCACUUAUUACAAAGUAGUGCUUUCAUUUGGGUUUAAGCAAGCACAUGUACAUGUAUUCACUCUUAUACAGGAAAACACAUUAAAAUCAAGCCAAGUUACAUAUUUUGCAUUGGAAAUUUGUUACUGCUUUGCAACACUCUUUCAAAAAAAAUAUUUUAAUACAAAUAUUAACAACUUUAAUUCACAAGUUUUUUUGUAGUGGGAUAAAAUAACACCUAACCUUUGUUUUGGAUUGCACAGCACUUUUGUAAUUUGAGCUCUUCGAGGUUUUCGCCUGGUGUUGAACUUGAACCUUGGGCUGGAAAAACAGUAUUCAUUAUUAUUGGCGAUGUAUGCGAAACGGGGCAAAUCGUACCCGAGUCAACUCGUACCUGAGACAACUCGUACCAGUCAAGUCGUACCCACCAGUACCACCUUGUACAUGUAUGAUGUAGUAGUAAUGUUAGAAGAUUAGGUUUUCCAAUACCUUUGAAAAUUUGAGGUGUGCAGCAGAUCUGAAGUGUGCGCAUUUUUCUUUUUUUUUGCUAUGCUAGCCGAUACAGCGUAGCGUGAAUUUAAGCUUGGCCGACAUUUGGCGUUUUGGGGUCGGUAUAUGGAAUAUUUAUGCUGUAAAAUUUCUGGAUUUUUUUUCUCAGAAAUGUUUAUGGCAUUAAUGAAUGUUUGCUAUAUGACAAAAGCUGAAAAACAACCUACCUUUGUUUUUAGGGACGCGUCAGUUGUAUGAGCAGAAUUCGUCCCUUGGCCCCCUGAUACUUUGCAUGUGCCUGCCUUGUCUUGGACCUGAGGUGGAAAAGAACCACGCGUCAAUCUCACUUAAUUUGUAAAAGAUUGCACCGUCAUUCAUAUGUUCUGCAUAUUAGACUGCACCAUCACCAAUUGAACAUACACAUUGUAGACCAGACCGGUCGUGCUUUAGCGUCGGCAAAUUGUUAAAAAAUAUGAAAGCACCAACAAGUUCAAUAACACGUCUAGAAGAUUCAGAGAAUCAAAAUAUUGUAAACUUUAAAAUAAUCGUAGGAACCUAUCGACACCUGUGCACAUUUUUUAGUAAAACUUAAAAGUCCUUGACAACUUGCACGUACAUGUACUUGGAUCACCACAAACCUUCCCUACUACAGUAGAUGAUCUUCUCCUGGAGCCGUAAAAGAAAGAGAUCAUUAUAAUACAAAUGGUUGCAAUAUUUACACUAAUCAAAACAUUGAACAGUGACACUCUUUUUCUUUGUAGGUACAUAAAAAGCAAGGGUCUAUCAGGGGGGCGGUAAACAACUCUGAUGACUUGGUUUUUCUCCCUUUGUUUUUUUUUUAGUUUUGAAAAUUUUGGAAACUUCUUGACGAUGGCUCUUUAUUGUCCCUAGCAGAGUUAGCCUCUCCUUGAGAAGGUCUUCAGCGAGUUCAGCACAGGUGAAGUAGUUAUCUGCUGUGACGUUGCCGCCACUCACUCUUGAAAAGCAGACAAACCAUGUCCAAAACAACACGUUUGCCCAGUUUUGUCUCCCGCCGGUUCUUCUUCUUGCCCAAAUAAGGCUGAGUGUUAGUGAUGUAAAUUAUCAGUAACAGUUGAACCUAAAUGUAAUCAAACAAAACCGGAUUAACUGGCAACAGAAAAAAAAAAUAUUGGGACCCAUAGAUCUCAAGCUGACAUAAAAUAUGAAAUCAAAAUAAUGGCAAUGGGAUAAAUAAUGGAAAAAACCUUGCAAACACAAGUACUGGAAGUUAUCUAGACAUCUAGGAAGUGGUUACAGAAAUACACGUUAACAUUUUUUUAAUGAGUCACAAAACAUGGGAAUAGAUGAAUAGAGGUGUGCUUCAUGCUGAGUUCUUGCACAAAGGUGAUUAAAAGUAAGUGUAUCCAUGUGACGGAUAUUAACGGAAGUAUUUGAGUUGAUUUUGCUUCAGUCAAUUAUGCCAAAUAAACAUUUAGUAGUAAAUUGAAUAACUAGUCUCUGUCGUCUAGAUUCCAGACUUUGCCAGUGCAGUUUCUGUAGUCUAUCCUAAUACAGCAUUGCUCGUUUUUGCUGUUUGAGAAACAUCCUUGUUGCUCUCCUUCGGACCCGUUCAAGCUUAGAUGAUAAGGCUGCUGUGUUUGGACACCAGGCUGGCAACUGGUACUCAGGAACUGGUAUGACAAGUGACCAGUAUAAAGACAUCAUCAGUGUAGAGGUUUUGUAGAGGUUCCUCCAGCGGUAUGCCUUAUUCUUCUUAGCAUGGUCAGUGUACUGUUUAUUGUAAUGCCAAGGUACUUGCAGGUGGUAGCAACAGUUAAUGGAGAACUUUGGGAGGGCUAGAGUCUUUGUUGAUCUGGUCAUAUGCAUUACCUUGGAUUUGUUUGAAUUAAGUUUCAUCCCAUUUGACAUGCUCCACUGGCCGAGGGCGUCAAGGUCUGCUUGACUGAUUGACUGAUCAUUGAUUGAAAGGUUAUGGUUCUGUGGCGGACUCGGCAGUUGGGGGAAACCCACGGGGACUGGUCUCUGAUUUAUUCCAGUCUGCAACCAACACGUAUUAUUCCACCAAAAUAUUACAACUUUGAUCGCUGCCAUUCAUUCCUUCUGCGACUCGCGCCAGCAUCAUUUUCUUCAUCGCCAACGUACCUGCGAAUAACAAGCCUUACAGUAUUGACGCCAUCUUUGGAUAUGACUUAGUGAUGCCACAACACGAACGUAAAGCGCCCAGACUCUAUGCAAUACGCUCUUCUGAUUGGUCUACGUACACACCAUAAAUCUUAGUGCUCUAGACGCACACAAAUAAUUCUGCAUCUAUCCUGUUUGCCACACAAGACCCAGUUAACAGUGUUGGAGUCAAGACCUCAAAGUCCAAGACCAAGACCGAGACUUCCCCAUCCGAGACCGAGCCCGAGACCUCAUAGUCUGAGACCAAGACCUCAUAGUCCGAGACCGAGACCUUUUUAAAAAAAAAUCACACACAAUAUCUAGCAAGUUGUGUAUAUACGUGUUCACAUAUCAAUGUAAAUUUGAUGCCAAAACUCUUCAAAACUUAAAAAAAAAAAAAUAAUGCUAUACCAUGCCUUUAAAAAUAGCCAGGUACAUUUUGGCAAGAUUUUUUUAAUUGUUUGAUGUUCUAAUGGUUUGACUAAUUCAUACAGGUAUGUGCCCUCUGUCGCUCUUUGAAUAUUUCUAGAGUGCGACAGAACUGAAAUGCAAUGAAUGGGACAUGCCCGAUUGAAUUAGCCCAAUACAGGUUUAUCUCUUAUUCUGAUCAGGAUUUACUGUACUCAGCAAGUUGGUAGUAGUACUGAAGGUAAACUGACUAGUAAUUCUGCAGAAUGUCCUUAUUGCACUUCAAGAACAACAACUUUGUAAAGUUAUCUGCUGACUGUAGCCCUGUUUGGUCUCACUAUGAUUCCACAUCUGCCGAAGAUACAUUCCACAGGAGCACUGGAGGCAGGGACUUUUAGUGUUCUCAGGGCAAGUUUAAACAAUGUCGGGUAUCUGACACGAUUGUUUGUCCAAAACUGUAAGCAAUCAGAAGUCAGCUCGAGAUCAAUGACAUGACAAACAGUCCAUGCUACUAACUGAGCGGCGAUAUGCUAGCGAUAAAGGUGCUCUCCCUGCUGCAAUUCUUUUGACAUGCACUAUGCAUUAUGAUUUGCCCUGUUGAUACAGUGUCGACUCCAUAAGCAAUAAUUGUCUUCAAACACUCUAGAAUAUUUGACGGGUCUCGUCAAGGUCUUGAUCCAAGACCCUUGUCAGAGACCGAGAUAUUUGGAGUCGAGACCGAGACCACAACAUUCCGAGACCUCAAAAUCGUUGAGACCUGAAAAAAAUGGUCUCGAGACUAGUCUGAUUUCUGUCAAAUAAAAAUGUUGGUUAGGUUAUAGUCAACUGAUAAUGUGUGUGGCUAACUACCGCCAUCUGGCAGAAAGUCUGCGUUCCCUCUGGGGAUACAUUUUUCGGGUUCCCCAAGGGCUAUCCACAACAACUCCCCCUUCCCAGCUACUGCUAGUAUCAAUCUUUUGGGCCUCGGGAGGCUCAACACUCAGUCGUUCCUUUUGACUAGUAGGCAUGGCCGCUGGAACCUCAAACACUGGUUCUCCAACCAAAGGUUCUUCAUUUAUCAUCAUUAUUAUUUUCAUCGUCAUCAACGGAAUCAGAAACUUCAACUGAUUCUGCCAACACUCGCUGCUCAACCACUAGGCUCAUACUUCCAUGGUCUAGGUCGUCACCAGUGUAAGUCUUGAGCCUAUCUCCGUGGACUACAGAAGCCCUACUGCCAGUCUUCAUCUGCAUUUGGUAGGUAACAUCAGAGAGUCAUUCCCCGGCCAAUACUAUCGCACCAUUGAUUUGGCCAAAGUCUUGUUAACACCCAGAUGUUCACUUGUCUGACCACCGUGUAGCUCGUGAAGUACUACCUCUCUCAAUUUAUCAGGCAGUACAUAGCACCAUCUAAUCUUUUCAUCAUCGGACUCCCAACUUCUAUACAGUACACCAUCCUGCACCUCCUGCAGAUUCCAUAAGGACCAGAGGGUCCUGUGCGCUGAGGAAGCGGUUGACACAGUCUCCCAACUUGGACGGCUGCCCGGCUCGUUACUGAAGCUUGAGUGGACUUCAUUUAGAAGGCGAUCUAGCACAGGAUAGUACAACCUGAUACAGUUCUCUUUCUUGCUGGAGAUGUUCUCCUCUUGACCCACUGUCUCUUGGACAAUUCUAUCAGCUAGGUGGGAUUGAUAUACAGUUGCUAUGCUUCUGUAGCCCCACAAGUAUUUUAGCCACCAAAACUAAUAUGUCUUGCAUUUUUUUCUUGUUCUUUGAUAGGACCGAGUAACUUUUUCCCUCUUGAAAUUCAUCGAGAGCCUGUUAUCAAAACUGCAAGAAGAGGACCAUUUGUUGUCAGAUGAGCUAAAACAGGAAGGUUGCUGACAGGUGAUGGCCAGCAUUCUUCACCAAUUGUCCUGGUUGUCCACGGCAUUUCUAAUGUCUGGGGUCCUAGGAUGGGCAUUCAAGGAUCAACCGUGCUUAUGGUAGAGUACCUUCUCCCAUCCUGUCUGCCAUCAGCCUGGGACGCCAGAGCAGGUGCCCAUUGAGGGGAUUUUCCUGCUCUAACCAAGGAGACCUUGCACUUGAUGCUGGAAUGCCCUGAAACUGCACCACUUUGUGAUGACAUCGGACAUUACAGAAACUACAUGUACAUCCAAAGUUUCUUGAGUCUUUUUAGAAUGCACUACACGAAGGCUAUUAAUGGAAUAAAUAUUAUAUGGGCAAUUCCAUGCUGUUGGAGACACAAGACAAAACAUAACUUAGCAUUUUUAAAACAUAAAUAGUUCUGUUGCGUGUGUCCACUGUUUUGUGAGUUAUGGGGCACCAUCGCAUCAGAGUCUGCAGUAGCCUUGGUCAAGGCGUUCGUCAUUAUUCGUCCGUGCGCAGUAAACGAUCUGUGGAAUAUCCUCGCUAUGCAGUGCGUUAAAAAUACAGCCCCAACAGCGACCUCAUGCGGCCACUUUAUUUAUGCAAAUCUUUGGACCCAAAAGAAUACCUCAGUCCAAUCGUCCAUGUCAGGUUUUGGGGGUGGUGCUCAUUAUGCUAAUAGCCUAAGAUGACCUAAAGUCAUUUUCAUGUUGGUUGAUCGCUGUGUGGAAACUUGCAUAUAGUUAGUGAGCGAUACACAUGUUGUAUGCAAAUCUUUGGACCGAGAAGAACGCCUCAGUCCAAUCGUCCAUGUCAGGUUUUGGGGGUGGUGCUCAUUAUACUAAUAGCCUAAGAUGACCUUAAAUGUUGUUUUUGUAUUGGUUGAUCGUUGCGUGGAAACUCGCAUAUAGUUCGCGAGCGAUGCACAUGUUGUAUGUCGAUGUCUAACAUUACACACAGCACCAAUGCACAAAAAAGUGUUGUUUCUGAAACGUCUGCAAAGGGCGAAUAGCUGCAAAUGAUUUGAUGACAUCAAGAUUUAGCAAGGUGUGAUUGGACACUCCACAUAGUAGCCCCGCCUACACUUAUCUGUAUUCGCAUAUAAUGUCCUGAUGACUUAUAUGGACUUUUGAAUAAGUUUUUUGUUGUAUUUUUUCAGUACUAUUUUUCUCUCAAUUUUUGUUACAGUGUAAGUUUUGAGGGCGUCUUUGUGAAUAUGGGUAUUUUGUUUUUACGCAUGAAGCUCUCUAACUAAUGUCAGUCAUUAUGGAAUUGCCCAUUUACUUGGUAAAAUUGUACAGUUUCGGGUUUCCAAAUUAGUUACUGGGCCCUAUUGUAUUGCUGUUUAUUUGUGUAUUUUAAUAUUAUUUGUGAAUUUAUUAUUAAUGUUAUUAAGUGAUGUGGUUGUACAUUUUAAUGAAUAUUCAUAAAUAUCUAAGACAGUUUACCCAUUGCCAUUGGUCGAGAGAUUGUCACAUUGCUGGUCUGAAACGGUUGUGGUUGUACAUUUUAAUGAAUAUUCAUAAAUAUCUAAGACAGUUUACCCAUUGCCAUUGGUCGAGAGCUUGUCACAUUUGCUGGUCUGAAACGGCUGAAAAAGACAUGGCUGGCUGGUGUUAGACACUUUCAAGUGUCACAUGAACAAUUUUGACUCCUGUCAAAUCCAGUACCUUUACCAUUUCAUUGGGUGAACGUUCACAAUCCUCACACGUAGGCAUGUGCAAAAGUAAGUAUUUCAAGUCCUAAAUUCACAAAGCACUUGCACAGCUGCAAUUGCGCAACAUCGUGCAGAACGGGCGCGCCAGUCAUCAUAAAAUGAAUUGUUUAUGUCUGACUCGCGAGCUGGACACUCCAUUAUAUAGCUAGAGGGGUGUUUGGAAAAACAUGAAGUGAAACUGUGGAACAAUAUCUUUGGAAUUUGUUACAUUUUGACCUGUUUUGACUUUUGGACUAAAAAUGUUGGUUUUAUGACGGAAGAGAUAUAUAUGAAUGGGAAUAAACAUGUGCUUGGUUGGUAUUAAACACUAUGCUUUUAUAUAGGACCGGUUGGAGUCUGGAUGCUGAUAAUUACCUUUGGCUCAGG
Molecule: long non-coding RNA, 8273 nt
Organism: Patiria miniata (bat star)
Lineage: Eukaryota; Metazoa; Echinodermata; Asteroidea; Valvatida; Asterinidae
Exons: 3
Source: RefSeq, a predicted model, not a curated record